Molecule: transfer RNA, 84 nt
Filed under: Fasciola gigantica
Lineage: Eukaryota; Metazoa; Platyhelminthes; Trematoda; Plagiorchiida; Fasciolidae
Description: tRNA-Ser
Source: RNAcentral
GGCCCCAUAGCUCAGUCGGUAGAUUACUCGCUGUACUAAAGCGACGGUGGCAACCACGUGGGGGUUCAUAUCCCACCGGGGUCG